This is a long non-coding RNA of Bactrocera tryoni, 1089 nucleotides long. RefSeq lists it as uncharacterized. NCBI's taxonomy places the organism in Eukaryota, Metazoa, Arthropoda, Insecta, Diptera, Tephritidae. The transcript is spliced from 2 exons. The record is from RefSeq and is a predicted model, not a curated record.
AAUUACAAAUACAACAAAAACUGCAAAAAGUUGUAAAAAUUGCAAAAAUAACAAAAAACAACAAAAAGAAAACUUAACUGUAUAUAAUGCAUGGCGCAAGCAAAACGAAGCUGUGUAACUACUGCUAAAGCAAGUAAAUAGCAAUGAAAACAAAAAGUAAUAAAUGGCAAGUUUAUAUACAUAGCAUGAAUAUAUAUGUAUAUGAAGCUUAUGUAAUGCGCAACAAGACAACAACAGCACGUGUCUUACAUUAAACACUCCUGUUACGAAAAUUACACAUAGCAUGUGACUGCAAGUAUAUAGUUGGUGCUAAUGCACAAUUUCUAUAAAAAUUUUAGCAACUGGUGCAGCAAUAGCCAAAGGCAUGAUUACCGCUUGCAACAGGCAGUGAAAGUUGUUUUCAGCCUACUCACAACUUUUUCACAAUUUUUCGAGAAAUUUUUCAUAGUUUUAUAACACAAAACUCAUUUAUUGCUUUGAGUUGUCCUAAACUGCCAAAUUAAAUUUAUUUCGAACAUUUUUUCGAAUUUUGUUUUUUUUUUUGUCAUCAUGCUCUAGAACUCUCUUAUCGCAUUUCAAUUAACACAUUGUUUAAAUAUUUUCUAAUAUUAAUUUAAAUAAUCAUUCCGUAAACCGAAAAAACACAAAACGAAGUUUGCAAAAGCACGCAGAAAAUGUUGAAGAUCCUAUAUGAGGGCCACCAGUUUUGGAGAUAUGGAUAUGAAUUUUUGCGCACGUACUUUUCUUAUAAAGAAGCUGCUUAUUUCUUAGCAUUGCCGAUUUCGGACCGCUUUGCGGUAUAGCAGCCGUACAAAUUGAUCGCUCAAAGCGUAAUUCUUGUAUGGAAAACUUUUUGGUUUGAUGAGAUAUGCUCAUGGAAUUUGGCAUGGAGUAUUUGCGGUGCAAGCUCUGAAGAAAUUGUGCGUAUCGGAUCUCUAUAACAAAUAGAUGCCAUACAAACUGAUCGCUCAAAAUAUAGUUGCUGUAUGAAAAACUUUUUUAUUUGACGAGAUAUCUUCCCGAAAUUUGUCAACUGUUACCAAAAGCAGCGCCACAGUCAUCGAAUAAAUUGUUCAGAUCGAACAACUA